AGUGAACGCUGGCGGUAGGCCUAACACAUGCAAGUCGAACGGCAGCACAGUAAGAGCUUGCUCUUACGGGUGGCGAGUGGCGGACGGGUGAGGAAUACAUCGGAAUCUACUUUUUCGUGGGGGAUAACGUAGGUAAACUUACGCUAAUACCGCAUACGACCUACGGGUGAAAGCAGGGGAUCUUCGGACCUUGCGCGAUUGAAUGAGCCGAUGUCGGAUUAGCUAGUUGGCGGGGUAAAGGCCCACCAAGGCGACGAUCCGUAGCUGGUCUGAGAGGACGGUCGGCCACCCUGGAACUGAGACACGGUCCAGACUCCUACGGGAGGCAGCAGUGGGGAAUAUUGGACAAUGGGCGCAAGCCUGAUCCAGCCAUACCGCGUGGGUGAAGAAGGCCUUCGGGUUGUAAAGCCCUUUUGUUGGGAAAGAAAAGCAGCAGGUUAAUACCCCGCUGUUCUGACGGUACCCAAAGAAUAAGCACCGGCUAACUUCGUG
Molecule: ribosomal RNA, 492 nt
Filed under: uncultured bacterium
Lineage: Bacteria
Description: partial 16S ribosomal RNA
Rfam family: Bacterial small subunit ribosomal RNA
Source: RNAcentral